Molecule: non-coding RNA, 1593 nt
Organism: Cygnus atratus (black swan)
Lineage: Eukaryota; Metazoa; Chordata; Aves; Anseriformes; Anatidae
Source: the annotation of a RefSeq genome assembly
AUGACGGCCACCAAUGCUGGUGGUCACCUACAGGUUCUCAUGGUGGUGGCCACCAAGAGGUGCCACCGAGGGUCACCUGCAGGUUCCAAAGAUGGCCACCGAGAUCUGAUGGCGGUGGCCACCGAGGUGUUCUGGCCAUGGCCCCCCAGAUUCUCUGCCACCGCUCCCACUGCCUACUCGCUGGUCCCCUGCCUCAGUGACUGCGAUAGCGAGGGCAACGUCACCAUCGGCUGCUUCGUGAACGACUUCUUCCCCGAGCCCGUCACCAUCAGCUGGGUGUCCAGCGUUGCGGGUGACCAGGUCACCUUCCCGGCCGUCCAGGGCAGUGACAGCUUCUACAGCGCCAGCAGCCAGCUCACGGUGCCAGCCAGCAGCUACUGCGACAACUCCUUCCAGUGCAAGGUCAACCACGUGCCCACCUCCACCUCCCUCACCGAAGUCAUCGAGGGUAAGUGUCCUGUUGACCCCCUGGUGAAGCUCCUCAGCUACCCAACCCAAGAAGACCCCGAGAAUAGGGUCCUGCUGGUGUGCCUCAUCGAGGGGCUGAAGGGCAGCAACGCCGAGGUGGAGUGGCUGGUGAACAAGGAGGUCCAGAACCUGGAGGAGGACAACUACAGCUGCAGCGAGUGCUCCAACAAGGCGGCCACGCAGUGGAGCCAGGUCAACGUCAGCCGGCAGAGCUGGGACCAGGGGGCCGAGUUCUCCUGCAGGGUGUCCCACCCGUCGCUCAAGGAGCCCAUCGUCAAGUCCAUCAGCACCUACUGCAAAAGUCCCGGACCCAAGCUGGAUGUCACCGUCCUCCCCCCGUCCUUGGAGGACCUCUACAUCAGCCAGAACGCCAGCAUCACCUGCGUGGUGGCCAACGCCCCUGAAGACCUGAAGCUCUCCUGGUCCCGGAGCACCGCGACCGCCUUGGACGUGUCCUCCGGGGAGCCCGAGAAGCAGGAAAACGGCCUCUACCGCCUCACCAGUGUCCUGAAGGUCUGCGCCGAGGAGUGGAACAGUGGUGAGACCUUCUCCUGCUCUGUGUCCGGCUCGGAGCUCCAAGGACCCAUCAAGAAGUCAGUGAAGAAAGACCUAGCCGUCUCGGUGCAGGCACCCUCCGUCUACAUCUUCCCCCCGCCGGUGGAGGAGCUGGCCCGCCAGGAGACCGCGACCUUGACCUGCCUGGCCUCGGGCUUCCGUCCCCGCGACAUCUUGGUCACCUGGACCCAGCAGGACCGGCCGGUGUCUUCCGGAAGCUUCUCCACCUUCGGCCCGCAGGAAGGCGACGGCGGCCUCUUCAGCAUCUACAGCAAGCUGAGCGUGUCGGCGUCCGAGUGGCAGCGGGGGGACAGCUUCGCCUGCGUGGUGGGGCACGACGGGAUCCCGAUGAACUUCGUGCAGAAGAGCCUGGACAAGAGCACGGCCUCCCCAGAAUGCAUCAUGGUGGUCCUGGGCAAGGAGACGGAGCUGGAGACGGAGGAAGACGUCACCGACCUCUGGACCGCCGUGGCCUUCGUCAUCCUCUUCCUCCUCAGCCUCUGCUACAGCACCGGCGUCACCCUCUUCAAGGUACCCCCCCCACACACACCCCCCAACAAUAAUAAUUAG